Molecule: long non-coding RNA, 200 nt
Organism: Rhodamnia argentea
Lineage: Eukaryota; Viridiplantae; Streptophyta; Magnoliopsida; Myrtales; Myrtaceae
Exons: 2
Source: RefSeq, a predicted model, not a curated record
UGCAAGAUCAAAGCAAAUGAAAACACAUCCACCUUGGUAUCGUAUUCUUCAUUUUUAUAAACUUCUGGAGCCACAUAUCGCCCUAAGCACAAGCAUCCAUAGAUAAGUAAAAUAUCAUCUUUAAAGACAAAUCCAAAAUCCUGAAAGUAAAGGGUAUUUGUAUAUUCAACAGUAUGGCAGCAGCAGCUAACACUAUCCAA